Molecule: long non-coding RNA, 505 nt
Organism: Cygnus olor (mute swan)
Lineage: Eukaryota; Metazoa; Chordata; Aves; Anseriformes; Anatidae
Exons: 2
Source: RefSeq, a predicted model, not a curated record
GCCAUAAAGAAUCUAUCUGUAAUUGGCAAUCACCACAGAUCCAAGAGUCCUUCUCAGUUGCAAGUUCAUUGUUUUGCAAUAAUGAAAACUCUGAAAGAGAAUAUGAGUCAGAUUCCAGAGAGACAAACAUAAGAUCUGUAGCCUGAGGACUAGAUAGUCCACGGUCCUGGCAGAAUGAUUAGCCGGGUCAUUUUCUUGUGUGGUAUCAUCAUAAGGGGGUAACAUAGGCCUGACAUUUUAACAACAUCUGAAGAAGAGGAUAGAAGACAGGGUUGUAAAAAAGCUUCCGUAUAACAACUGUUGAUAACAGGGGACCAGUAAAGAUUGACCCUGAGCCAGAGCACAGGCAUGUGUCAGAGCAACAGCAGCAACAGGAUGAGGUACAGCUACAGCUAAGGAGUGUCCAAGCACUAUAUAACCUUUUCUUUACAAGAAGGGUGGCCACUGCACCUGCAUGGAGGCACAAAGACAGUCCUGUUUGCAUUUCUCUAAGUCACAGGAGGCU